CCGUCAAAUUUGCUUCCUAGCUGCAAUCAUGGACCCUGGAGCCCUUAAGACCCAGUUGCUGCAGCUUGACUGGGGUCUCUGUGCAGCUCUGCCACCCUGGACCAGGCUGCUGUGGUUAUAGCUCUUUGCAGUGAGAGACUCUUUCUCCUGUGAAGCAGUGAUUAUAGCUCUUUGCAGUAAGAGACCCUUUCCCCUGUGAAGCAGUGAUUAUAGCUCUGGAGACCACUUUCUCCUGUGAAGCAGUGAUUAUAGUUAGUUUUCCCCACACAUUAGCCGAGACUAAAUGUAGGGGAAUAGAGAACAGCUUUAUUGAACACACAGCUUUUUAUGCACAGAGAUGUGGAUUUACACACCAGGGCAGAGG
This is a non-coding RNA of Pelobates cultripes (western spadefoot toad), 364 nucleotides long. Lineage: Eukaryota; Metazoa; Chordata; Amphibia; Anura; Pelobatidae. The record is from the annotation of a GenBank genome assembly.